GAUGAACGCUGGCGGCGUGCCUAAUACAUGCAAGUCGAGCGAACAGACGAGGAGCUUGCUCCUCUGACGUUAGCGGCGGACGGGUGAGUAACACGUGGAUAACCUACCUAUAAGACUGGGAUAACUUCGGGACACCGGAGCUAAUACCGGAUAAUAUAUUGAACCGCAUGGUUCAAUAGUGAAAGACGGUUUUGCUGUCACUUAUAGAUGGAUCCGCGCCGCAUUAGCUAGUUGGUAAGGUAACGGCUUACCAAGGCAACGAUGAGUAGCCGACCUGAGAGGGUGAUCGGCCACACUGGAACUGAGACACGGUCCAGACUCCUACGGGAGGCAGCAGUAGGGAAUCUUCCGCAAUGGGCGAAAGCCUGACGGAGCAACGCCGCGUGUGUGAUGAAGGUCUUCGGAUCGUAAAGCUCUGUUAUUAGGGAAGAACAAAUGUGUAAGUAACUAUGCACGUCUUGACGGUACCUGAUCAGAAAGCCACGGCUAACUACGUG
RNAcentral lists this ribosomal RNA (497 nucleotides) under uncultured bacterium. Its description in RNAcentral is "partial 16S ribosomal RNA". It matches the Rfam family "Bacterial small subunit ribosomal RNA", at positions 28 to 507 of the family's 1533-position model. The record is from RNAcentral.